UGGGAGGUAAAUUUCUCCUAAGGCUAAAUAACGGCGAGAGACCGAUAGCGAACAAGUACCGUGAGGGAAAGAUGAAAAGAACUUUGAAAAGAGAGUUAAACAGUACGUGAAAUUGUUGAAAGGGAAACGAUUGAAGCCAGUCGUACCUAUGGGUAAUCAGCCUUUUGGGUGUGAUUUUGUGGAGCGUGAGGAGUUAAACGCCUUCAUGCCUGCAUAUUCGUGCACUUUGGGUGUACUUGCCCGUGUGUAAGUUAACAUCAAUUUUGGUGGUCAUAAAAUGGCUGGAGGAAUGUAGCUUUGAUCUUGUAUUGAAGUGUUAUAGCCUUCGGUAGAUGUGACGAUCGGGAUUGAGGAUUGCAACGGAUACCCUUCGGGGCUACCUGUCUGAUCUCUGAUUGUUGCUCUGGUACCGAAAGCUUGCUUACGGUUAUCAAAGUCGAUGGUCAAUAGGUUAGAACGGGUUAAAUUCGUUAAGGAUGUUGACGUAAUGGCUUUAAACGACCCGUCUUGAAACACGGACCAAGGAGUCUAACAUAUAUGCGAGUGUUAGGGUGAAUAAACCCUUACGCGUAAUGAAAGUAAUUUUGGUGGGAUCACUUUUGUGCACCAUCGACC
RNAcentral lists this ribosomal RNA (615 nucleotides) under uncultured Glomeromycotina. RNAcentral's name for it is "eukaryotic LSU rRNA". It matches the Rfam family "Eukaryotic large subunit ribosomal RNA", at positions 293 to 766 of the family's 3401-position model. The record is from RNAcentral. Lineage: Eukaryota; Fungi; Glomeromycota.